CCUACGGGAGGCAGCAGUGGGGAAUAUUGGACAAUGGGGGCAACCCUGAUCCAGCCAUGCCGCGUGUGUGAAGAAGGCCCUCGGGUUGUAAAGCACUUUCAGUGAGGAAGAACGCCUGGUGGUUAAUACCCAUCAGGAAAGACAUCACUCACAGAAGAAGCACCGGCUAACUCCGUGCCAGCAGCCGCGGUAAUACGGAGGGUGCGAGCGUUAAUCGGAAUUACUGGGCGUAAAGCGCGCGUAGGUGGCUGGAUAAGCCGGUUGUGAAAGCCCCGGGCUCAACCUGGGAACGGCAUCCGGAACUGUCAAGCUAGAGUGCAGGAGAGGAAGGUAGAAUUCCCGGUGUAGCGGUGAAAUGCGUAGAGAUCGGGAGGAAUACCAGUGGCGAAGGCGGCCUUCUGGACUGACACUGACACUGAGGUGCGAAAGCGUGGGUAGCAAACAGGAUUAGAUACCCCGGUAGUC
Molecule: ribosomal RNA, 465 nt
Filed under: Vreelandella stevensii
Lineage: Bacteria; Pseudomonadati; Pseudomonadota; Gammaproteobacteria; Oceanospirillales; Halomonadaceae
Description: partial 16S ribosomal RNA
Rfam family: Bacterial small subunit ribosomal RNA
Source: RNAcentral